Molecule: ribosomal RNA, 1375 nt
Filed under: uncultured bacterium
Lineage: Bacteria
Description: bacterial SSU rRNA
Rfam family: Bacterial small subunit ribosomal RNA
Source: RNAcentral
GAUUGAACGCUGGCGGUAUGCUUAACACAUGCAAGUCGAACGGAAACGAUACUAGCUUGCUAGUAGGCGUCGAGUGGCGGACGGGUGAGUAACGCGUAGGAAUCUGCCUGAUAGUGGGGGAUAGCCCGAAGAAAUUCGGAUUAAUACCGCAUAAUCUAUUCGUAGUAAAGUGGGGGACUUUCGAGCCUCACGCUAUCAGAUGAGCCUGCGUAAGAUUAGCUAGUUGGUAGGGUAAAAGCCUACCAAGGCGACGAUCUUUAGCUGGUCUGAGAGGAUGAUCAGCCACAUCGGGACUGAGACACGGCCCGAACUCCUACGGGAGGCAGCAGUGGGGAAUAUUGGACAAUGGGGGCAACCCUGAUCCAGCAAUACCGCGUGUGUGAAGAAGGCCUGAGGGUUGUAAAGCACUUUCAAUUGUGAAGAAAAGUUAACGGUUAAUAACCGUUAGCCUUGACGUUAACUUUAGAAGAAGCACCGGCUAACUCCGUGCCAGCAGCCGCGGUAAUACGGAGGGUGCAAGCGUUAAUCGGAAUUACUGGGCGUAAAGCGUGCGUAGGCGGUUUAUUAAGUCAGAUGUGAAAGCCCCGGGCUUAACCUGGGAACUGCAUUUGAAACUGGUCAACUAGAGUAUGGUAGAGGAAAGUGGAAUUUCUGGUGUAGCGGUGAAAUGCGUAGAUAUCAGAAGGAACAUCAAUGGCGAAGGCAGCUUUCUGGACCAAUACUGACGCUGAGGUACGAAAGCGUGGGUAGCAAACAGGAUUAGAUACCCUGGUAGUCCACGCCGUAAACGAUGAUAACUAGCCGUUGGGGGGAUUUACCCUUUAGUGGCGAAGCUAACGCGUUAAGUUAUCCGCCUGGGGAGUACGGCCGCAAGGUUAAAACUCAAAGGAAUUGACGGGGACCCGCACAAGCGGUGGAGCAUGUGGUUUAAUUCGAUGCAACGCGAAGAACCUUACCUGGUCUUGACAUCCUGCGAACUUUCUAGAAAUAGAUUGGUGCCUUCGGGAACGCAGUGACAGGUGCUGCAUGGCUGUCGUCAGCUCGUGUCGUGAGAUGUUGGGUUAAGUCCCGUAACGAGCGCAACCCCUAUCCUUAUUUGCCAGCACGUCAUGGUGGGAACUAUAAGGAGACUGCCGGUGAUAAACCGGAGGAAGGCGGGGACGACGUCAAGUCAUCAUGGCCCUUACGACCAGGGCUACACACGUGCUACAAUGGGAAGGACAAAGAGCCGCGAAGCCGCGAGGUGUAGCUAAUCUCAGAAACCUUUUCGUAGUCCGGAUUGGAGUCUGCAACUCGACUCCAUGAAGUCGGAAUCGCUAGUAAUCGUAGAUCAGAAUGCUACGGUGAAUACGUUCCCGGGUCUUGUACUCACCGC